CCCACUUUGCUUUUGCUUUUUGGGGAUUUUGUUACUUUGAGUAAAUUAGAGUGUUCAAAGCAAACAGUUAAAGCAUUUACUGUGUUUGAAUACUAUAGCAUGGAAUAACAAAAUUGAACAAGCUAAAAUUUUUUGUUCUUUUUUCUUAUUUUGGCUUAGUUACGAUUAAUAGGAGUAGCUUGGGGACAUUCGUAUUCAGAUGUCAGAGGUGAAAUUCUUAGAUUUUCUGGAGACGAACAACUGCGAAAGCAUUUGUCUAAAAUACUUCCAUUAAUCAAGAACGAAAGUUAAGGGAGUGAAGACGAUCAGAUACCGUCGUAAUCUUAACCAUAAACUAUGCCGACUAGGUGUUGGAUGAAAGUGUUAAAAAUAAAAGUCAUCUUUCGAGGUGACUUUUAGAUUGCUUCCUUCAGUACCUUAUGAGAAAUCAAAGUCUUUGGGUUCUGGGGCGAGUAUUCGCGCAAGCGAGAAAGUUAAAAGAAUUGACGGAAGGGCACCACCAGGCGUGGAGCUUGCGGCUUAAUUUGACUCAACACGGGGAA
This 542-nucleotide ribosomal RNA is filed under the name Plasmodium falciparum (malaria parasite P. falciparum). RNAcentral describes it as "SSU rRNA". It matches the Rfam family "Eukaryotic small subunit ribosomal RNA", at positions 721 to 1212 of the family's 1831-position model. The record is from RNAcentral. Lineage: Eukaryota; Apicomplexa; Aconoidasida; Haemosporida; Plasmodiidae.